RNAcentral lists this long non-coding RNA (421 nucleotides) under Acyrthosiphon pisum (pea aphid). RNAcentral's name for it is "uncharacterized LOC103311510". The record is from RNAcentral. Lineage: Eukaryota; Metazoa; Arthropoda; Insecta; Hemiptera; Aphididae.
UAUAUGUAUAUAUACGUAACCAUUAGACCAGGAUGUAAUAACUGAUAAAUAUUUAAUAAUUCGCAGAAGAGAUGACUCUCUGCAUAACAACACAGAUAAUAAAUUAGCUACCAGAACACUUUAAGAAUGUAGAAAGGUUAUUGUAUAUCAAAUAGCUGUUCAAGUUUUUUAUAGAAGUGGUAAAAUCUGACUAUAUAUACCAGUGUAAAAUCAUCGAUAUUUAACAGUCUUUAAGAUUUCAAUUCAGCACAAGGAGCUAUUUGCACAACAACCACAAUGCCAUAUCAUCGAUCAAUAACUUCUUCGGAUUCAGAGGAUGAACAUUUUAGUGAAACUGUUGAUAAGGAAAUGAGUCCGUCAGUAUCGAAAAUAAAACCUAAUUCAAAACGUAACGCAACAAGUGAGAAAAAAAAAUCCAGAA